Molecule: long non-coding RNA, 304 nt
Filed under: Priapulus caudatus
Lineage: Eukaryota; Metazoa; Priapulida; Priapulimorpha; Priapulimorphida; Priapulidae
Description: uncharacterized LOC106814486, transcript variant X2
Source: RNAcentral
AUCGUCUCGUCUGCUACAAAAAUCCUCCCAUCUUUGCAGAGAUGGUUUCGUGUCCCGCGGCUACGCCGUCGCCGCGGCAACCCUAUACCCGGAGGAGCCGGCGGGGCCGACGAUGAAGACGGCGUUGCCUGGACCGAGGUCGCAGGAACUGAAGAAACAGCUGGACAAAAUACAGAACACGGGAGCCGUGAGCGUGUUCGUUGACUUUGAGAAGAGCCGAGGAAACUACAUGGUCGACGUGGACGGCAACGAGAUGCUUGAUCUCUUCACACAGAUCUCCUCCCUCCCUCUCGGUGAGUGACAG